UACGUAGGGCGCAAGCGUUGUCCGGAAUUAUUGGGCGUAAAGAGCUCGUAGGCGGCCUGUUGCGUCCGCUGUGAAAUCCCGGGGCUCAACCCCGGGCCUGCAGUGGAUACGGGCUGGCUAGAGGCAGGCAGGGGGAGAACGGAAUUCCUGGUGUAGCGGUGAAAUGCGCAGAUAUCAGGAGGAACACCGGUGGCGAAGGCGGUUCUCUGGGCCUGUACUGACGCUGAGGAGCGAAAGCGUGGGGAGCGAACAGG
Molecule: ribosomal RNA, 254 nt
Filed under: uncultured bacterium
Lineage: Bacteria
Description: partial 16S ribosomal RNA
Rfam family: Bacterial small subunit ribosomal RNA
Source: RNAcentral